AGCAGCCGCGGUAAUUCCAGCUCCAAUAGCGUAUAUUAAAGUUGUUGCAGUUAAAAAGCUCGUAGUUGAAUUUCGGAAUCAAUUUGUUGGUCGUGCCUCGGUACGUACUGGUAUUAUUGGUUUCUACCUUCUGAAGAACCUUGAUGUCAUUAAUUUGGUGUCUUGGGGAAUCAGGACUGUUACUUUGAAAAAAUUAGAGUGUUUAAAGCAAGCAUACGCUUGAAUACAUUAGCAUGGAAUAAUGAAAUAGGACGUUUGAUUCUAUUUUGUUGGUUUCUAGGAUCGACGUA
RNAcentral lists this ribosomal RNA (290 nucleotides) under uncultured Glomus. Its description in RNAcentral is "partial small subunit ribosomal RNA". It matches the Rfam family "Eukaryotic small subunit ribosomal RNA", at positions 569 to 864 of the family's 1831-position model. Lineage: Eukaryota; Fungi; Glomeromycota; Glomeromycetes; Glomerales; Glomeraceae. The record is from RNAcentral.